UUUCAGCUUGCUCAGUGGAAGAGCCUCUGCGUUGUGUGCAGAAGGUCCCAGGUUCAUUGCCUGGCAUUUCGAGUUAAAAA
Molecule: transfer RNA, 80 nt
Filed under: Sphaerodactylus townsendi
Lineage: Eukaryota; Metazoa; Chordata; Lepidosauria; Squamata; Sphaerodactylidae
Description: tRNA-Thr
Source: RNAcentral